Long non-coding RNA from Solenopsis invicta (red fire ant), 6850 nucleotides. RefSeq lists it as uncharacterized. The transcript is spliced from 2 exons. The record is from RefSeq and is a predicted model, not a curated record. Lineage: Eukaryota; Metazoa; Arthropoda; Insecta; Hymenoptera; Formicidae.
UUCAUAAAUGCGAAUGUAUCGAAGAUUUAAAAAAUUAAAGAUGUACACGUGUAUUGAUUGAGAUUUGUCGAUAUGAUAUAAUGAAAAAGAAUGUGCAUGAAAAAAUAUGUAGAAAACGUCAUGUCGAUCUAGUUAGUUUCUCGGCCGGUCGAGAAAAAGAAUCUGCGACGGCCGGUAUUUGCCGAGUUACGAAAGUAAGCAGCUUUAGAAAGUAUAUAAUAGUACGCGACAAGGUGAACGGCGGCCUAAGCCCGGGAUCUUGCACGAUUACAAAGUCCAACAGCGUAUUUAGGCAACACUAAUUUCGUAUGUAGAUGGAACUUAAAUUAUAAUAAUAAUUUAUCGAUAUUUUCAUUCGACAUUUUUAAUAGCGUGAUAAAUAUUUAAAAAGAUAAACUUGUGCAAUAAAUCAAUAAUUAAUGUGUAUGUUACAAAAUGCAUGUGUGCAUAUGGUUCCAGAAAUAUUAUUUAAAAUCAUUCCCUCCAAGCAUAAUAUUUUUGUAUUUCUACAAUAUUUCUAAAAUCCAAAGUCUUACAAAACGUUUCAUUAAAUCACAUACUGGAAAUAGUGAUGGUAAUUCUGGAAAAUUUUGCACACGUACAAUUUAACAUAAUAAUUUACGAUAUAUAUAUAUAUAUAUAUAUAUAUAAUGAAAUAAGUCAUAGCACUCAAGGAUGUGCGAAUCUAAAUGUUUGAUGAUUAUUGAUACAAGAAUAAUCGCAAUAGAUACAUCAAAUUGAGAAGAAGCAAAUGAGUCGUCGAGAGAAUUUCCAUUGAAGUAUGGCCGGUACUCGCUCAGUGUUUUCCGUGAUCCCAGAGCCUCUUAAUAUUGUUUGUUACAGCUGGGGGAACAUGGCUUCCACUGUUGAGCCCGAGCAAUGUAUGUUAAAUCGCGAAUGCAAUAAUCUGUAGAUCCACGGAUCUAAGAUUAGAUAGGAAAUUGAGGAAUUGAAGAGGUCAAAAGUUUUAAAAAUAGAAGAUAAAAUGUGUAUACAUUGUAAAACCAAUAAAAGGAAUUCAAAACCAAUAAAAUGUCAUUGAACAAAAAAUUUUUAACAUCAGUUUAUAACGUGCAAAGUACUCAAAGAUUUAAAUAUGUAAGAUUAAAAGAAAAUUAUAUAAAAAUAAAAUAAAGCGUCAUCUUUAGAACUAAAGAUCUGUUAAUCAAAAAUCUAGAAUGAAACGUAAAAUUUCCUAAAAUUAUAAUAGGAUCAAUGGAAUGACGCGUGGUUUCAUCACGAGAGAGACUUUUAGUCGAUUCUGGCUCUCAUCCCAUAUAUGCCUCGGUUUUAUAAGAGGAUUAGAGAAUUUGAAGGUUACGAGUGAAGGGAUACGAUGUGAAUGGUAAACGCGUUCUGAGAACCCAUAUCCUUUCUAUAUGUACAUAAAGACGUAGAUUAUCGAAAUGAAUAUAUCAUAUACUUAUUUUCGAUAUAUUAAGGUGAAUCUAAGAUCCAUGAAUAGCAGAUCCGCAGAAGAUAACAAUAUCAGGAAAAUAAAUUAAAAAAUGAAGUUUUCGUAGUGUCAAAAUAUUACACUUCUAGCUACCAUACAAUUAAAUACAAUACAAAUUCAAUUUCCUUAUUUCACUGUUCUGCAGAGAGUUAGGAAUAUUGUUACUAUCGCGCCGUACUCGUUCUUUCUUUCUCAUACAAAAGAACGAAAGAGAAGGACGAAGAUUUAGAAUGUAGAACGAUUCGAUUUUUAGCGCGCACGUCCGACGGAUGGAAAAAAAAAAGGGGAUCUCCAACGUCGUUGGAAGAAGAAAGCAGUUUACGUUAUAAUAAAAUUGUGCUUUGUCGCGGGGCCGAUAGGAGAGAGAAAAAGACUGACUGUCGUUUUGCAUAUAAGCCAAGCCAGUUUCUCACCCCCACUGACCCAGCGACCGAGAGAGCCUGCGCUGUUGUCGCUGGCUCGCGUGCGCGCGCGCGCGCGCACGGCAAAAGAAGUGGCUGGGACGACUGGGAUGAGCCUUCCCGUCCUCCGCUGCUUCCUGCUGCGUUCCUCAUCGCUACGUAUUCUCCGCAGUCGGCCGCCGUAACAAACGUUAGAUCACACACUGGCGAUCGAGCCGGAGCUACACGGCACGGUCACGUGACAGCGACAGUUGCGUCACACAGUUCGGCCCCUCUCGCCGAGCCGACCAACGAGUGAGAGGGACCCGCCAUCUUUAUUCACCGAGUGAGCGACAAUGUGCGAAAAUGAGAGAAAGAGGGACCGCGAACACACACGGCACCAACAACGAUGGACCACCGACAUUUUCUUUUCCAAUCUUUUUUUCUAAUUUCAAUUCCAACGAUCGACACACGAAUGUGAAAGUAGAAAAAUAUUAACUUGGUAAUACUGUAAAGUUUCGUACCUCUAACAAAGUCGAAUAAUAACGGAGAUAUUGCGCGACUCAUAAAAUAUAAAUUUUUUUUUAUAACGGGAGAGCAAAGUAUCAAAAAUCAAUUCGCAAAUUAUGAUUUGUAAAAUGAGAAUUUGCUGAGCUUAUAAAGUAUGAAAUUUAAUGUUUAAAAAGUUGUGAAAUCUCGAACAAAUUUGGAAAACUGAAAAACUAGUCAAUCAGUUAAGCAGUUAGUAAUCGAGGAGUGAAGAAAUCGACAAGCUGUCAUUAAUAGCUUUCACCUUUCUCGCAACACAGUUUCGGCAAUUCGCCAGACAGAAUGCACAAAGUUCGAUCGCUAGAUCUCUAUUCACCACACUGGUUGGCGUUGGUCCUCGAACGGAAAUAUUGAAUGAUACUAGGCUUGCGCGAUAAGUAUAUAGAGAUGGGAAAGAGGGGAAAAAAGAGAGAACCAGAGAGGUCCAAAGGUUGCGGUAAAUAGGUCAAACAGUCACAGUCAAUGAGUCGCAUACUUUUUUUUUCUCCCGCGUCCGUUUUCCAUACGCAGAAGGAAAGUACCUUAAGAGAGAUCGAUUUUUCUUUUCUUCUCUUUCUCAUCUCUUUUCCGUCUUUCUUUUGUCUUGAGAGAAAGCAGAUUUUUUUUCGGCGAUUAACAGGCCUGUCUUGAUACUCACACACAGGAAAAGAUCAAAUCCAAAAAUACGUACGAUGUCGAGUGCGAAAUCAAACCAGCAUGAGAGUCCUGCUUCCGGUCACGCCACGCACGCAGAAAUCGCGAUUCGUGCGACAUUACUCGUAUAGGCGGCGCCUGUGGUUUCUGUUGGUUCCUCUUCUUUGAAAAUGGACGUUUGUAUCUUUGAGACACAAUAUUACUCUUUUCGGCUUCUCAUAAUCCCCCUUUUUCUAAACUGCUCUUAUUUACGUUUUCUUUUUUUUCUUAAUGAUAUCGCGAUAGACAAGUCUUCGUAAACUUGAAUAAAGUAAUCGAUUGAAAGUAAUCGAUUUAAUUCAAUCCUCUUGAUACUAUAAAGCAAAGAAAAGUACUCGAGAAAUAGAUGGUGCCCGUUACUAUAAAGCCGAUUAGCUUCUGGAAACCGUUCUGUGUGUAUAUAUAGAUUCAAGAUCUUGAUUAAAUAGAAUUACUCUGGAUUUCUCGUUUCCUUGAAUUCCUCCCGUCCCAGCAAAGAAACCGGAAGUUGUAUUAAUAUCGGCACUUUUUCUUUUGAGUUUUCAAAAGAAAAGAUUUUGGAAAACUCAAAAGAAAAAAAAGAGAAAUACUCUUCGGUGAAUUAUCCGCAGCGAAUGAAGAAAACGACAGGUGAAUCGAUCGAGUGGCCAUUCGAAAAAGCCAUCGUUAGGCGGCGAAGGCGAACGAAGCAAUAGUACGGACUGCGGACCGAGACUAACGCGAAACACAACCGAACCGGAGAAGGAGCUGCGACGAACGAGAACGCGGACGAGCGCGUAGCUCGAGCCGUACCGCACUCUCAGCUUUUACCCCCCACCACGAUUCAGCACGAUCGGCCGCAUCCGGCGAUGACGAUGGCGCGCACUCGCCAGAAGUCGCAGGAACACAGUCGCUUGCUGCUAUUGGUCGAACGCCGUUGCUACUUGAGUCGCGAUUGGUUGACGCGCGCACACACAGCCAUUCACGCGAAAUAUUGCACACUUGGCACGGCUUGCUGCCCGCCUCCCUUCUCCCAACCUCGCCCUCUUCUCCCGACACACGCGCAUCGAUAUACGAGAGCACGAGCGUGCGCACAUUUCGCACGCGCGCGCAAUAUUUCCAUUGUCGGCGAUCUAUGUACGGUGGACGGCGCGGCGCGUAUAUCGUUAACGCGCGUACGUACAAGUAGGUUCACUCUCGCCAGCACGAUUCUACGACACAGCCGAACAGGAACUGCUGGCGGUGCGCGCGAGAACCCGCUACUUAUGCUACGAGUGGGAAGAAACAGCGGCAGCGGCGGCGACGGCGGAAUCGAGCCGUGCGCCGCGCCUCACCGCGCCGCCUGUGCGGUACGCUUCGCCUUUGGACUCGCUAUUCCAACUACCGCGAAUUCUAACAGCCAAUCGCCGUGGCUACGUUAUAGUGCGAUUCAAGCCGGAAGAUUCAUUUGGUUAUGUAAAACCUGCAUCGCGCGCCAUAGACAAGAUUAGAUCGUGUAUCUACACUUCUCUUCAGAUUUUUCAAAUAAUAAAAUACGUACGAUCCUUUUUUGUUAAAACAGCGAGAGAGAAAGAGGAUUUUUCUCUGCUUUUCAUCAAUCACUAAAUAAAAGCCAUAAUCUAUUUAUAACGAUACAGGAUUAACUGCGUCUUGCGAAAUGUUUUAGUCUUCCGUGAUCAGCGUGGAUUCCGACAAUGUGUGUUUCAUCGAAAAGAGAGAGGAAUGUUUCAUUAUCUGUGUGUUACGUAACGCUCGACGAUUGUUGAACGAGCAUUGAAGAACCGACAAUUAACAAUUCAAUGAUUAAACGAUUAAACGAAGACAACGGAAAUGGAAAGUACUAUUUAUUCUUGUAUUACUAUUGAACAAAUCUAGUUUACCUAUUUAUAAGGAUUUUUGUUAAACUCGGAUAAUAGAUUACUCCGACAAUAAGACAUUUGAAUGUGUAAUCGAACUUGAAAAAAAAGAAAGGUUUUCUAUCGAAAUGCAACAACUUAACAGACUCGAAUGUUAACCGUAACGAUAGCGAAGCAGUUGAAAGGGUUAAAGCGAUUUGGUAGCAGUAGCGUUCAGUCGCGACGUGGUACGUGGUACAACCAGGAGGAUGGUGGGGAAAAGAGGAAGGGUUAGACCGAUCCGUAAAACGUCGGGACUCAACUCGUCGACCGUCCUAUUUCUGCGCUCGGGAAAGUUCGUACACCGAAGCGAUCGCGCACGAAGCGACAGAGAUAUAAGUAGGUCGUUCGUAGCCGCACGUGUCGUCCUUGACUCACAUAGAGUGGCGCGCAGGCGCUCGCUGUUGCCGCAUUGCUGGUCGCUAGGGCUCUUUCUUUGUCGUCUCUGCGCGCGUUGCACGAGUGUGUUGGUGCUUUGUGCGCCUGGAUCAGAUACUUGUAUGCGUACGUGCGUUCGCGCGCUCGUUUGCGGAUGGGAGCUUCCCGUUGCUCGAUAGGUGCGCGUGCGCGUAUAUACAUAUAGGGUGUCUGAAAAGAAUAUGUUUGCGCGGUGAAAGUUUCCUUCUUUUUUUCAGCUUUUUUGCUCUCGAAGCAUUCGCGGAUUGAAUAAUUGGAAAAGGAUACAUGAAAAAUAUCCAACUGAAAGAGCAUAUCUGUAGAAUUUCCAAAAAGGAAAUCACUUUAAACAUUAGUAAAGUAUUAAAAUCUAGUUUUUUCACUCCAACUAUCUCGUGUAGCAUUUGUGCAUGACCAAGAGCGAUAAUCGAAAGUGAUAAAAAAGAGAAAGGUUAUCAGAAAAGAGUUUUAUUUCCUCUUCCUUGUUGGGAAUGAGUGCGAUGUAUCGAAGCAUGCGUGAUGCAACGCGCCAUGACAAAAUUAUACAUGUUUGAUUUUUUUCUUCAUGUUUGUUCGCGUUUAUAACUUAUAAACCAUUAGUUGCUCGGCAUUAUUACGCAAAAGUUAACGACAAUAGAGUCUAUAAAAUAGAUUUAGCUUACGACCUUUGCAUUCUACAGUCGCGAGACUUAGCGACGGCAAUUUACUAUUGUUGUCAAGGACAUUCUCGCAUCACGAAGACCUCGGUACGGAGAAUCGACGGUAGCUUAGCUUGGCUUUGGCAUCGUGGCAUGAGUAUUGAUCGCAACGGGAACUCAAAGGGGAGGCCACCACGCUGGGCUAUUCGAACCCCAAUUGGAUCACCCUACCUCAUGUGGUAGGCAACCAGAGGAGAAUACGAGCGAGGACAGCCUAUUUUUCAAUAUGUUAGGAAUGAGAUAUUUAUAUAUAUAUACGAGAUGUGUAGAAUGCUGAAAAUGAGACUGGAAUAGUGAUAUUCUAUUUCUGGUAUGUAAUAACGAUAUGAAAUUUCGCGAGUUUAAUAAAUGAUCAAACUAGAACAGAUACGUUAAUUCUGAAAUAAUGACAGAUUGUUAACGUUGUGACUGACGUUACGAUCGUACAAUCAUAUAUAAUUACACUUGAAUGUUUGAGCCAUAUUGCUGUGGUAUAUUGAGUCAGUGUAUAGUCAUUGAUCAGGCAAAAGAGUUGUACAUGCAAUUUGACGACCAUGAAUUUUAUGAUUUGUAGUGUUGAUUUUUUCCUAGAUCAAAUAGGUGUGCAUUAAUACGUGGAAACUUUACAAAUCGAACAUCAAAAGGCUCGUUCUUUUUCCAUACUCUAAGCCUGAAUACGGUUCAUGAGAGAAAAGAUAAACCAUGCAAAAUUCAGUCGUCAGGGAUAAAACAAAAAACAAACCUAAAUUCUUCUAUUAAUUAUUAAUCAUUAUUUGGAAUAAUUAUAAUUUAGAAGAUACUAGUAGAUUACUUAGUAUCUUCUAAUACUAGUUCUAUAUUGUAUUAAAUAAACUAGGAAACUAUUUA